UAGACGCCAGAACAGACCAUGUUAAGCACCCUUAAAAUAAAAGACAAAACUGAUUGGCCCCUGUUCUAAUGUCUUUGGUUGGGGCGACCGCGGGGAAACAAAAAACCCCCAUGUGGACCGGGAGCACACUACUCCUACAACCCAGAGUUACAACUCCAAGCAACAGAAUAUCUGACCAACAAGAUCCGGCACAUAGCCGAUCAACGGACCGAGUUACCCUAGGGAUAACAGCGCAAUCCUCUUUUAGAGCCCAUAUCGACAAGAGGGUUUACGACCUCGAUGUUGGAUCAGGACAUCCUAAUGGUGCAGCCGCUAUUAAG
RNAcentral lists this ribosomal RNA (320 nucleotides) under Sarotherodon melanotheron (blackchin tilapia). RNAcentral's name for it is "partial large subunit ribosomal RNA". It matches the Rfam family "Bacterial large subunit ribosomal RNA", at positions 2174 to 2569 of the family's 2925-position model. Lineage: Eukaryota; Metazoa; Chordata; Actinopteri; Cichliformes; Cichlidae. The record is from RNAcentral.